UGGGGAAUAUUGGACAAUGGGCGCAAGCCUGAUCCAGCCAUGCCGCGUGGGUGAUGAAGGCCUUCGGGUUGUAAAGCCCUUUUGUUGGGGAAGAAAUCGUGCAGGUGAAUAUCCUGCGCGGAUGACGGUACCCAAAGAAUAAGCACCGGCUAACUCCGUGCCAGCAGCCGCGGUAAUACGGAGGGUGCAAGCGUUAUCCGGAUUCACUGGGUUUAAAGGGUGCGUAGGCGGAUAUGUAAGUCAGUGGUGUAAUCAACGGGCUCAACCUGUUAACUGCCAUUGAUACUGUGUAUCUUGAAUAUGAGAGAGNUAGGCGGAAUGUUGCAUGUAGCGGUGAAAUGCUUAGAUAUGCUACGGAACACCGAUUGCGAAGGCAGCUUACUAUUUCGUAAUUGACGCUGAGGCACGAAAGCGUGGGUAGCGAACA
This 427-nucleotide ribosomal RNA is filed under the name uncultured bacterium. Its description in RNAcentral is "bacterial SSU rRNA". It matches the Rfam family "Bacterial small subunit ribosomal RNA", at positions 355 to 774 of the family's 1533-position model. The record is from RNAcentral.